GAGUUUGAUCAUGGCUCAGAUUGAACGCUGGCGGAAUGCUUUACACAUGCAAGUCGAGCGGCAGCGCGGGGCAACCUGGCGGCGAGCGGCGAACGGGUGAGUAAUGCAUCGGAACGUGUCCAUGUCGUGGGGGAUAGCCCGGCGAAAGCCGGAUUAAUACCGCAUACGCCCGAGAGGGGAAAGUGGGGGACCGCAAGGCCUCACGCGAUUGGUUCGGCCGAUGUCCGAUUAGCUAGUUGGCGGGGUAAAGGCCCACCAAGGCGAUGAUCGGUAGCUGGUCUGAGAGGAUGAUCAGCCACACUGGGACUGAGACACGGCCCAGACUCCUACGGGAGGCAGCAGUGGGGAAUUUUGGACAAUGGGGGCAACCCUGAUCCAGCCAUUCCGCGUGAGUGAAGAAGGCCUUCGGUUGUAA
This 415-nucleotide ribosomal RNA is filed under the name uncultured beta proteobacterium. RNAcentral's name for it is "bacterial SSU rRNA". It matches the Rfam family "Bacterial small subunit ribosomal RNA", at positions 9 to 428 of the family's 1533-position model. The record is from RNAcentral. Lineage: Bacteria; Pseudomonadati; Pseudomonadota; Betaproteobacteria.